GACGUCAAGUCCUCAUGGCCCUUACAUCCCGGGCUACACACGUGCUACAAUGGCAGGUACAGAGGGCUGCGAAGCCGCGAGGUGGAGCGAAUCCCAGAAAACCUGUCUCAGUCCGGAUUGAAGUCUGCAACUCGACUUCAUGAAGGCGGAAUCGCUAGUAACCGCGAAUCAGCAGGUCGCGGUGAAUACGUUCCCGGGCCUU
Molecule: ribosomal RNA, 202 nt
Filed under: uncultured Latescibacterota bacterium
Lineage: Bacteria; Pseudomonadati; Candidatus Latescibacterota
Description: uncultured Latescibacteria bacterium partial 16S ribosomal RNA
Rfam family: Bacterial small subunit ribosomal RNA
Source: RNAcentral